Molecule: transfer RNA, 74 nt
Filed under: Parvibaculum indicum
Lineage: Bacteria; Pseudomonadati; Pseudomonadota; Alphaproteobacteria; Hyphomicrobiales; Parvibaculaceae
Also listed under: 31 other names
Description: tRNA-Gln
Rfam family: tRNA
About the family: Transfer RNA (tRNA) molecules are approximately 80 nucleotides in length.
Source: RNAcentral
UGGGGGAUCGUCUAAUGGUAGGACAGCGGACUCUGACUCCGCCAGUCUAGGUUCGAAUCCUAGUCCCCCAGCCA